This 779-nucleotide long non-coding RNA is filed under the name Ictidomys tridecemlineatus (thirteen-lined ground squirrel). RNAcentral describes it as "lncRNA (ENSSTOG00000034264.1)". The record is from RNAcentral. Lineage: Eukaryota; Metazoa; Chordata; Mammalia; Rodentia; Sciuridae.
AAUAUAUGAUCUCUUUUGACCUCAGGAUGCCUUUAGAAGGUACAUGCUAGUAGUCAGAGAGAACAGAGGAAGAGUUCCUAGAGCGAGUGAACAGGAAGCUGGCUCAGACCAGCCCCAAGAAAGACCUGUUGACCACAAAGCCCUGCCACUGUGAGGAAAUCCUGAAACUAGUGCUCUCACCACUCACCCAGCACUGCUUGGUUGUUGGAGAAACCAACUGUGCAUUUUAUUACCUGCUGGAGGCUGCUGCUGCCUCCUUGGACCUGUCAGAUAAUUACAUGGUGAGCAAGCUCAGCUCUCUGCUCUUGAACUGAGCCUUUUUACUUUGGGAAUUUGAUUGAGAGUGCUUCCUGUCAAGUAGGAAUAGAAAGUGGAAGAAAAUGGGAGAGAGAGAAGCUGGAGGGAUUUAGGAGAAGACAUGAAAUGGGAAUGUGGUGAGAGAGAGCACUGACCCACACUGGCCCUGCCCUUGACUUGCACAGCAGGCUGGGCCCUCACUCUACCUCAAAAUCCCAAACCUGAUUUCAAAUUCAGAUCUUGACCCUCAUCCUAACCUUAUCCAGCAUCAUCCUAACCUUACCCCCAGCACCAUCCUAAUCCUAAUCCAGUUUCUUCAUCCUUUGUUUGAAGGCUUUCUUUUAUUUAAGGAAGGCAAGCAGUCUUCUAGGCCAACCCUCAGCAUUCUCGUUCUUGAAAAAGCACAAAGUGAAGAUUUGUCAGUUUGAGGAGGCCACUUUCUGCAGGCUUCGGUCAGAGGUGAGGAUGAGCAUAACCUUGAA